Molecule: transfer RNA, 73 nt
Filed under: Enoplosus armatus
Lineage: Eukaryota; Metazoa; Chordata; Actinopteri; Centrarchiformes; Enoplosidae
Description: tRNA-Asp
Rfam family: tRNA
About the family: Transfer RNA (tRNA) molecules are approximately 80 nucleotides in length. Their secondary structure includes four short double-helical elements and three loops (D, anti-codon, and T loops). Further hydrogen bonds mediate the characteristic L-shaped molecular structure. tRNAs have two regions of fundamental functional importance: the anti-codon, which is responsible for specific mRNA codon recognition, and the 3' end, to which the tRNAs corresponding amino acid is attached (by aminoacyl-tRNA synthetases). tRNAs cope with the degeneracy of the genetic code in two manners: having more than one tRNA (with a specific anti-codon) for a particular amino acid; and 'wobble' base-pairing, i.e. permitting non-standard base-pairing at the 3rd anti-codon position.
Source: RNAcentral
AAGACACUAGUAAAAUAGAUUAUUACAUUACCUUGUCAAGGUAAUAUUGUGGGUUAAAACCCCGCGUGUCUUG